Molecule: long non-coding RNA, 181 nt
Organism: Varanus komodoensis (Komodo dragon)
Lineage: Eukaryota; Metazoa; Chordata; Lepidosauria; Squamata; Varanidae
Exons: 3
Source: RefSeq, a predicted model, not a curated record
CGAAAGUGGCAAAAUUGGGCGGUUGGCAGAAUGCUUCCAAAUUCACAGAGUUUGCUGAGGGAGGGACCCCGAUACCCUGCAUGCGUCGGUGCCUCUGCCGGAGCCCUGGAAGGGGUGUCAGGGGAAGGCGAGCAAAAUGUUUCCGAAAUGCCGAAAAUAGGCCCGACAUGCUGACCCACGG